This 253-nucleotide ribosomal RNA is filed under the name uncultured bacterium. Its description in RNAcentral is "partial 16S ribosomal RNA". It matches the Rfam family "Bacterial small subunit ribosomal RNA", at positions 524 to 776 of the family's 1533-position model. The record is from RNAcentral.
UACAGAGGGGGCAAGCGUUGUUCGGAAUUACUGGGCGUAAAGGGCGCGUAGGCGGCCCGCUAAGUCGAACGUGAAAUCCCCGAGCUCAACUCGGGAACUGCGUCCGAUACUGGCGGGCUUGAAUCCGGGAGAGGGAUGCGGAAUUCCAGGUGUAGCGGUGAAAUGCGUAGAUAUCUGGAGGAACACCGGUGGCGAAGGCGGCAUCCUGGACCGGCAUUGACGCUGAGGCGCGAAAGCUAGAGGAGCAAACGGG